AGACAAUGAUGACCUUAUAGUUCAGCGUAGUCCGACAGGACGGUGUUGAUAAAUCGCCCCUAUCUGAGUCUU
This is a non-coding RNA of Brugia malayi, 72 nucleotides long. Lineage: Eukaryota; Metazoa; Nematoda; Chromadorea; Rhabditida; Onchocercidae. The record is from Rfam.